CUCAGAAUUGCCUUUGAAACUAGAGACUGAGUACGGAGAGGUGAGUGGAAUUCCGAGUGUAGAGAUGAAAUCGUAGAUAUUCGGAAGAACACCAGUGACGAAACGACUCACUGGCCCGUUACCGACGCUCAGGCGCGACAGCGUGGGGAGCAAACAGGAUUAGAUACCCUGAGUAGUCACGCCGUAAACGAUGGAUGCUAGCCGUUGAGUAAGCAUGCUUAUCAGUAGACGCAGCUAACGCAUUAAGCAUCCCGCCUGGGAGAGUACGGCCGCAAGAUUGAAACUCAAAGGAAUUGACGGGGGCCCGCACAAGCGGUGGAGCAUGUGGUUUAAUUCGACGCAACGCGCAGAACCUUACCAGGCCUUGACAUCCCGUGCUACCUCCUGAGAGGGAGGGUCCCCGCAAGGGGCGCGGAGACAGGUGCUGCAUGGCUGUCGUCAGCUCGUGUCGUGAGAUGUUGGGUUAAGUCCCGCAACGAGCGCAACCCUCGCCUUUAGUU
Molecule: ribosomal RNA, 500 nt
Filed under: uncultured bacterium
Lineage: Bacteria
Description: bacterial SSU rRNA
Rfam family: Bacterial small subunit ribosomal RNA
Source: RNAcentral